UGCCAAGUCGAGCGAAUGGAUUAAGAGCUUGCUCUUAUGAAGUUAGCGGCGGACGGGUGAGUAACACGUGGGUAACCUGCCCAUAAGACUGGGAUAACUCCGGGAAACCGGGGCUAAUACCGGAUAACAUUUUGAACCGCAUGGUUCGAAAUUGAAAGGCGGCUUCGGCUGUCACUUAUGGAUGGACCCGCGUCGCAUUAGCUAGUUGGUGAGGUAACGGCUCACCAAGGCAACGAUGCGUAGCCGACCUGAGAGGGUGAUCGGCCACACUGGGACUGAGACACGGCCCAGACUCCUACGGGAGGCAGCAGUAGGGAAUCUUCCGCAAUGGACGAAAGUCUGACGGAGCAACGCCGCGUGAGUGAUGAAGGCUUUCGGGUCGUAAAACUCUGUUGUUAGGGAAGAACAAGUGCUAGUUGAAUAAGCUGGCACCUUGACGGUACCUAACCAGAAAGCCACGGCUAACUACGUGCCAGCAGCCGCGGUAAUACGUAGGUGGCAAGCGUUAUCCGGAAUUAUUGGGCGUAAAGCGCGCGCAGGUGGUUUCUUAAGUCUGAUGUGAAAGCCCACGGCUCAACCGUGGAGGGUCAUUGGAAACUGGGAGACUUGAGUGCAGAAGAGGAAAGUGGAAUUCCAUGUGUAGCGGUGAAAUGCGUAGAGAUAUGGAGGAACACCAGU
Molecule: ribosomal RNA, 678 nt
Filed under: Bacillus cereus
Lineage: Bacteria; Bacillati; Bacillota; Bacilli; Caryophanales; Bacillaceae
Description: bacterial SSU rRNA
Rfam family: Bacterial small subunit ribosomal RNA
Source: RNAcentral